Molecule: ribosomal RNA, 429 nt
Filed under: Bacteroidota bacterium
Lineage: Bacteria; Pseudomonadati; Bacteroidota
Description: Bacteroidetes bacterium partial 16S ribosomal RNA
Rfam family: Bacterial small subunit ribosomal RNA
Source: RNAcentral
UAGGGAAUCUUCCGCAAUGGACGCAAGUCUGACGGAGCAACGCCGCGUGAGUGAAGAAGGAUUUCGGUUCGUAAAACUCUGUUGUUAGAGAAGAACAGCGCAUAGAGUAACUGUUAUGCGUGUGACGGUAUCUAACCAGAAAGCCACGGCUAACUACGUGCCAGCAGCCGCGGUAAUACGUAGGUGGCAAGCGUUGUCCGGAUUUAUUGGGCGUAAAGCGAGCGCAGGCGGUCAAUUAAGUCUGAUGUGAAAGCCCCCGGCUCAACCGGGGAGGGUCAUUGGAAACUGGUUGACUUGAGUGCAGAAGAGGAGAGUGGAAUUCCAUGUGUAGCGGUGAAAUGCGUAGAUAUAUGGAGGAACACCAGUGGCGAAGGCGACUCUCUGGUCUGUAACUGACGCUGAGGUUCGAAAGCGUGGGCAGCAAACAGG